GAAUGAGAGUAUAGUUCCUAAUCAUAUCAGCCUAGAAAAUCGCAACUUUUCAUUUUCCGCCGGUCUUAGUACACGAUAUAACUACAGAAGAGUCAAGUUUUAAAUAGGACAAAUAUUGAAACUCUUUGGUCAUUUUUGAACGCGAUGCUACUGGUCUAAUCGGAUUCAAUGAUCUAACUUAUGCUAAGCUAUGCUAAAAGUGCUAUCGCCAGACCCGGAGAUCGGCUGAAUGGAUUCAAAAACGCCUGGGCUCGGACUCAAAACAAGCUGGUCUCGACUGUGAUAAGCAUUGAAACAGAAGAAAGUACCUGUUCUCUGUCAAAGAUCUCCAGCAAAUGCUCCAAUCCCAGGUUGUGAAGGAACUGGCUGAUACUCAACUCUACGGCUAGACCUGAAAAAGCAUCAGCUCCAGAAGGCGGUAGGAGAGUGCUCAGCUCAGGGAAGGUCCCGGACUGGCCGUCCAUACUGGAGUUUGAAGAGAGCGGUGUUGGAGUCGAGCUGAGAGUCGACGGCACCACUGCCACAGACGCCGAGACACUGAUAACCUGGGGUUUAUAGCAUGCCGGCAGCGCUGAGGGAGGCAUGGCUGCCGUGAGGAGAGCUCGGACAUCGUCCGCCUGGAGAGACAGACAGUGCAACGUCAGAAAGUCAAGAUCAUGUACAUCGGCUCCGUGCUGCAGCAGAUACUCCACCACAGCCACACGGUUGUAUCCCGCAGCAAAGUGCAGAGGUGUGGACUGCCUUCCCUCAACGUCUCUACAGUUCACGUUCUGAAGAGUACAGAGCUUCUACACGGAAAGAAAUUGAAGGACAUGAGGGCGAGGAAAUGGUGAAUCUGAAGUAAACGUCACCUUGCAGUAUCUCCUGAAUGCUUUCAUUGGCGAGCUGGGAGGGUGAGAGGCCCUGUAGGGAGGUGAUGAGUGGGUCACAUCCAG
Molecule: long non-coding RNA, 935 nt
Organism: Onychostoma macrolepis
Lineage: Eukaryota; Metazoa; Chordata; Actinopteri; Cypriniformes; Cyprinidae
Exons: 5
Source: RefSeq, a predicted model, not a curated record